RNAcentral lists this unclassified non-coding RNA (2225 nucleotides) under Leishmania donovani. Its description in RNAcentral is "gene:unknown". Lineage: Eukaryota; Euglenozoa; Kinetoplastea; Trypanosomatida; Trypanosomatidae. The record is from RNAcentral.
GGGAAUGAAUCGCCGCACAUAUUUUUGACUCUCCCACACGACGCCACGCACGCGCACACAAGCUUACCCCGGCCUCGGCCCUUUCCCCUUUCACCUGAACGCUCCUUUCAUGGGCUGAGCCGCUCUGCGGUUUCCGGUAGUCCGGCGGUGUGCUUGAACCGUGACAUCAAGACGCUGCACCAUUUCCGCGUGCGCUCCUCUGGUGGCUUGAGCACGGGGCGAACAAAGAGCAAAGCAGGGCGUGGCACAGCGCGCCGCAUUACCGUUGCCUGUGCUGUGGCCUGAUGCCGCCUACUCAUCUGCCUCCCUGUGGCGCUCGGCGGACACACUACUGAAAAGAAGCGCGAGACGCUGGAGGUGAAGCCAAGGCGUGCGUCGUCGAGCAGGGAAAAGACGAGCGACGUCCGUGGCGAGAGAGAGAGUUGGCAGGGCAGCUGUGGCGGUCAGGGGCAAGACGAUCUCGUUAAAGGCUCUCCCAACGCUCCCUCCCCUCUCCUGUGUCAGCUUCCGAUGUGUUCGCGACAGCCCCGGCUGCCAAGCCGGCCGCGCCGAAGGUGGGCAUGCCCAUCGGCGGCAAUGGGCAUUCCCGAUAGCUGGACUAGCUCGGGAGAAAUCUCCUCGCACCCCACCUCCCGCACCCCGGCGCCGGAGGAUCCCGUCUUCGUCUUCCCUCCCACGGGCAGUGAGAGACCUGCGGCGCUCAGCGAGCUCCGUAAGAGGAGCUAAGAAAGCGCCCUGGAUUGCUGUUGGCGCGGAGCUCGCCUACCUGCGUGCAUCUGGGGAAGAAGUGCCCUUUGCCGCUUGUGAACCCCCUUGAUGGCGCGCAGUGUAUUUUGCGUUGUUUGUCUCUUUCCGCGAUGGAAGCCUCACUUCACUGGGUCUAAUCGGGAGUGUUGGCGCUCUUGUGACAGCGGGAAUGCCGGCAGAGGAGAAUCCCGGUGCACACUUGUGAGGCGGAGCUAGCACGCCUGCAGUAUUGUUUGCGUUGGGCAGAGCACUCGUGAACGGGGCUGUAUAGCUCGUGCUCGACGCCAUUGUUUUCUGUUCCGCACGCGCCGUGCUCUCUUCCGCUUUCGUAUUUGUCACUUCUGAGUCGUGUCUUUUCCCACACACUGUUAUGUGUAUGCUGUGCCCGUGUGUGUGUGUGUGUGUGUCUUGCCUUUGCGGCGCUUUACCGUGCUCGCAGCUUGUGUUUUGCCUUGCCAUCGCGGAUGUGUCCGCUGCACACGUGUGCGGGCGCGUCUGUGCUGAUAAGUUGCGCAUCGCUCCAGCCGUGCUGAUUUUCAUCAUCGUGCUCCCCGUCGACUCUUCCGAGUUCUUCUGACUGCGUCAUACGUCACCCCACUUCCACUCCCGCUGCACUGCCCCCACCUUCGGCGGCUCGGCAACCCCCCGUGUGUCUAUGCUCGCCAUUGCGAGUGAGAGCUUCGUACCUCGUCGCCGCCUGAUCACUGCUGCUCCGCUUUCUCCCCAAAUGCGCCCGUUUCCCUUGUCUCCCUCCUUCUGUGUACGUAUGCGUGCGCGUUGAAUAGCUGAGCCAACCAUGUGCGCAACGGAAGCUAUUUCUCGCUGCUCUCUUCUUGUGGUCUCUUUUCAAGGCCGCUCUCUCUUCCCCUUGUCAUCUACUGCCCUCAGCAUUGUUCUUGCGGCUGCUCUUUCCGUAUGUCGGCCUGUCUGCUCAUCCUCGUCUCUGUCUUUCUCAAGUUUUGCUCGCCUUCUUACCUCCCACGGGCAGCCCCUUCUCUUAUGGGAAUGUGUGCUCUACCUCUGCCUGUGUGCCUUGGUGCUCCGCGGCACCUGCAGAUGCGCGCUUGCCGCUGCCCGGAGUCACUCCCUUUUUCUUUGUGUUUUGCUGUGUAUCGGUGCUCAUUCCAGCCUUAGCUGUGGUUGGCGUGCCUGAGUGGAGGUGUGCGUCCCCCCACCCCCCUCGGGGCCCGUGUGGCAGCAUAGAAGGGGGAUGGCAUGGCGGGCGCAUUUUUCACCUCCUCAUCGUGUCUCCCUCUUACCUCUAUUUCUUCUCCGGUUCGCUCGUCUCCUUCAUUACGCUUUUCGCUUCCGUGUGUGUGCGAGGCUUCCUGUCUUCCGCCGUCCCGAGCCUUUUUUCAGUGUUUGUGCGUAUCGGCGUGGCGACACGCGCGCCAAUGCACGCCGUGGAAGAGAGGAGAAAACACCGGAGCUCCUGGAGCGAGAGCGGCAAGGACUCUCCGCCAUGCUUGCACGCCUUG